Molecule: non-coding RNA, 47 nt
Filed under: Metapseudomonas resinovorans
Lineage: Bacteria; Pseudomonadati; Pseudomonadota; Gammaproteobacteria; Pseudomonadales; Pseudomonadaceae
Also listed under: 1 other name
Description: Pseudomonas resinovorans Guanidine-II sequence
Rfam family: Guanidine-II riboswitch aptamer (mini-ykkC)
About the family: Simpler in structure and has fewer highly conserved nucleotide positions than the ykkC-yxkD leader. Despite this each of its two stem-loop structures directly bind free guanidine. Therefore, mini-ykkC RNA motif represents a distinct class of guanidine-sensing RNAs.
Source: RNAcentral
AGCCACGGACGACCGUGGUGCAGAUGACUAGCGGCGGGACGGCCCGC